RNAcentral lists this ribosomal RNA (2131 nucleotides) under Triticum aestivum (bread wheat). RNAcentral describes it as "partial small subunit ribosomal RNA". The record is from RNAcentral. Lineage: Eukaryota; Viridiplantae; Streptophyta; Magnoliopsida; Poales; Poaceae.
GUGGCGGCGACGGGUCGGGUCGAUAAAUAAAUAGUGGUCCUCAGGUCUCGGUGGACGGGGGUUGGUUCUUUUUGUGGUUUCCCACUCGGUUCCCGGCGACGGAGGCGGGUGGUUGGCGGCUGCGGGGGAGUUGGGGCGGGGGAGCCCGGCGCGAAGCGGCGGCGGCGAGGGGAUGAAGUAGCCGCGGGACGACGACAGAUGCGGGGCAGGGUGAGGGACGGCUGACUAACCCAGAGGAAGGAAGGAAGGUCAACCUGUACGGUAGUCGACAAUGGUACUGAAGUCAGUCACGAGUCCGGCGAAACCAAAGUUCCGGUUCCUCGGUACCGUAGUGUUCAAUGCCACAGAAUUUCCGCAGCAGAAGUAGUCAAUUGAAGCUUAACCCUAGGAGUAAGGACCCGUUCUGGUGUAGAGAAGCCCGUAGACAAUGGUGUUCCCAACACGGUUUCCGUUUCAGACGCCGAGUCUAUGAUGGACUCCGUAGAAUGUUUCACCGUCAUGAACCACGACGACCCCCGUAGCCCGUCGGUAACCCGGACAAUUAGUUCUACAGAGGAGACCAGAGUCUUGACGCGGACAUACUAUAACGCUUACAGUUCCCUCAGCGACGGCUAGAGUCGGUGACGUUGUGUGGAAGAGUCCAGUACCUGAAAUGACCGGGACGUCUUAAUCGGUUGACGAACUUUCCACACCUACAACAACAGUAGGGACGACCCCAGGGUUCUUUCGGUCCGUACUGAGCACUACUGGACAAGUUGUAGUUGCGCCCGUAGCAGUUCAGCGAAUAACUCCGACAACGUCUGUUAACGGGACUCCGGAAAUAGGUAUAAUAGUCGUUGGGUCAGUUGAGGUGUCACGGCUAACGACGACUCUAAGACUUUGUCUUCCCACAGAUGUUGGGGUUCUUCGAAAAGCCUCAAAGGUGGGAUCUACAACAGUCUCGAUUGUGUAAACAUCGAGUCUUCUUCCUGGAGUUCGAGUAACUGCAACUACAGGGUCAACAACCACCAGUACGACCUUAAUGUUAGGAUGGAGACAACAGGUUCUGAUCCGGUAGACAGUGGAAGUGCCUACUCCUUUGGCUUCUCGACUGUUUCUCCUAUGUCUUACGUCCCUGUCUCCACCACCUCCGCUUUCGGCCACGACCUAGACGAUGGGACAGGUACCGUAUACGGCGGCGGUCUAAACAGCUCAGUAGUGAGGCACGUGACCGACCACUAGGUCUACAAAUGCUCACGUGCAUACAGGUCAGGCUCGAUUGACUCGACGGUAAGAAACGCAGGUCUCAAUUCUAACCCUUCUUACCACAGCUCAGGUAGUAGAGAAGGCUGGACCUCCCUCACUGGCUAAUGCUCCGGUUCCGUGAGCUCCGCAACUUCGGACUCGACUUCCGGUCGUAGCUCUUCCCGUAGCUCAAACGCGUGUUCGUCGUCCCUCGACGGCGCAGGCAAACUCCAUUUCCUCUUGCUAUUGACGCAUGCUUCUCUUAUUAUUUCCGUUUUACUAACAGGGACAGAAUUCAAAACGUCGGAUCUCACAAAUGUAGUACAUCCUUCCUCAUACGGGACCUCGUCGAUAUAAAGAGUCAACAGCCAGUUAAAGAAUACUAAGAUCUAACGUAUACCCGCACUUCGGGGCUUGAGCGAGGGACGAGGCCCCGGAACAAAACAAACUGUGUAAUGUGGACGACGAGAACAUCGAAGGCUUCAACUGUUUGGCACCUUAUUAUUAUUUCCGUAAAGAAACUAUCAACGAGCCUUGGAGAAUACACCCUUGAACAUGAUGAUACAACACCAGUGGUAGUCCUAAGGCAACAGUCAGAACAAUAAUAGCUACACUCGUUACACAGACACGCACACUCUACCUGCCGACCUUCUCAUGGUUACUUCGGGAAAGAUGUCUAGGUCCCUACACUAACAGAACAAGUAGGUAUAGUGCUCCAUUAACAACAUAUGAGUUGUCGUCUACUUAGAGAUUUAAGUGAUUCGAGGGUCCCAUAGCUAAACCGGCCGACAAUGGCUAAAUCUAACCCAGUUCACGCCCCUCCCUCCGGAAACGACCAGUUCGCGCCCCUCACAGCACCUCCGACCCUCCGUAACCGUCUUAUGCACGACACUCCAGAAGAAAGGAG